CUACGUGCCAGCAGCCGCGGUAAUACGUAGGUCCCGAGCGUUGUCCGGAUUUAUUGGGCGUAAAGCGAGCGCAGGCGGUUAGAUAAGUCUGAAGUUAAAGGCAGUGGCUCAACCAUUGUAGGCUUUGGAAACUGUUUAACUUGAGUGCAGAAGGGGAGAGUGGAAUUCCAUGUGUAGCGGUGAAAUGCGUAGAUAUAUGGAGGAACACCGGUGGCGAAAGCGGCUCUCUGGUCUGUAACUGACGCUGAGGCUCGAAAGCGUGGGGAGCGAACAGGAUUAGAUACCCUGGUAGUCCACGCCGUAAGCGAUGAGUGCUAGGUGUUAGGUCCUUUCCGGGACUUAGUGCCGCAGCUAACGCAUUAAGCACUCCGCCUGGGGAGUACGACCGCAAGGUUGAAACUCAAAGGAAUUGACGGGGGCCCGCACAAGCGGUGGAGCAUGUGGUUUAAUUCGAAGCAACGCGAAGAACCUUACCAGGUCUUGACAUCCCUCUGACCGCUCUAGAGAUAGAGCUUUC
RNAcentral lists this ribosomal RNA (517 nucleotides) under uncultured bacterium. Its description in RNAcentral is "bacterial SSU rRNA". It matches the Rfam family "Bacterial small subunit ribosomal RNA", at positions 501 to 1016 of the family's 1533-position model. The record is from RNAcentral.